GACGAACCGUGCAAACGUUGUUCGGAAUCACUGGGCUUAAAGGGCGCGUAGGCGGGCUCUCAAGUCGGGGGUGAAAUCGUUCGGCCCAACCGGACAAGGGCUUCCGAUACUGAGAGUCUCGAGGGAGGUAGGGGUCGAGGGAACUGGUGGUGGAGCGGUGAAAUGCGUAGAUAUCACUAGGAACGCCGGUGGCGAAGGCGCUCGACUGGACCUCUUCUGACGCUGAGGCGCGAAAGCCAGGGGAGCAAACGGG
RNAcentral lists this ribosomal RNA (253 nucleotides) under uncultured bacterium. RNAcentral's name for it is "partial 16S ribosomal RNA". It matches the Rfam family "Bacterial small subunit ribosomal RNA", at positions 524 to 776 of the family's 1533-position model. The record is from RNAcentral.